UAGGGAAUCUUCGGCAAUGGACGAAAGUCUGACCGAGCAACGCCGCGUGAGUGAAGAAGGUUUUCGGAUCGUAAAACUCUGUUGUUAGAGAAGAACAAGGACGUUAGUAACUGAACGUCCCCUGACGGUAUCUAACCAGAAAGCCACGGCUAACUACGUGCCAGCAGCCGCGGUAAUACGUAGGUGGCAAGCGUUGUCCGGAUUUAUUGGGCGUAAAGCGAGCGCAGGCGGUUUCUUAAGUCUGAUGUGAAAGCCCCCGGCUCAACCGGGGAGGGUCAUUGGAAACUGGGAGACUUGAGUGCAGAAGAGGAGAGUGGAAUUCCAUGUGUAGCGGUGAAAUGCGUAGAUAUAGGGAGGAACACCAGUGGCGAAGGCGGCUCUCUGGUCUGUAACUGACGCUGAGGCGCGAAAGCGUGGGGAGCAAACAGG
RNAcentral lists this ribosomal RNA (429 nucleotides) under Gemmatimonadota bacterium. RNAcentral's name for it is "Gemmatimonadetes bacterium partial 16S ribosomal RNA". It matches the Rfam family "Bacterial small subunit ribosomal RNA", at positions 355 to 776 of the family's 1533-position model. Lineage: Bacteria; Pseudomonadati; Gemmatimonadota. The record is from RNAcentral.